RNAcentral lists this unclassified non-coding RNA (338 nucleotides) under soil metagenome. Its description in RNAcentral is "partial contains 5.8S ribosomal RNA, internal transcribed spacer 2, and large subunit ribosomal RNA". The stretch from base 3 to 119 matches the Rfam family "5.8S ribosomal RNA", at positions 38 to 154 of the family's 154-position model. The record is from RNAcentral.
GAGAAGAACGCAGUGAAAUGCGAUAACUAAUGUGAAUUGCAGAAUUCAGUGAAUCAUCGAGUCUUUGAACGCACAUUGCGCCCCCUGGUAUUCCGGGGGGCAUGCCUGUCCGAGCGUCAUUGCUGCCCUCAAGCACGGCUUGUGUGUUGGGCUCCGUCCCCCCGGGGACGGGCCCGAAAGGCAGCGGCGGCACCGAGUCCGGUCCUCGAGCGUAUGGGGCUUUGUCACCCGCUCUGUAGGCCCGGCCGGCGCCAGCCGACAACCCAUCAUCCUUUUCAGGUUGACCUCGGAUCAGGUAGGGAUACCCGCUGAACUUAAGCAUAUCAAUAAGCGGAGGA